RNAcentral lists this ribosomal RNA (566 nucleotides) under uncultured bacterium. RNAcentral's name for it is "bacterial SSU rRNA". It matches the Rfam family "Bacterial small subunit ribosomal RNA", at positions 28 to 638 of the family's 1533-position model. The record is from RNAcentral.
AACGAACGCUGGCGGCAGGCUUAACACAUGCAAGUCGAACGCGUGUAGCAAUACACGAGUGGCGCACGGGUGAGUAACGCGUGGAUAUCUGCCUUUUGGUUCGGAAUAACCCCGGGAAACUGGGGCUAAUACCGGAUGGUUCCUACGGGAUAAAGAUUUAUCGCCAAAAGAUGAGUCCGCGUACGAUUAGCUAGUUGGUGAGGUAAUGGCUCACCAAGGCGACGAUCGUUAGCUGGUCUGAGAGGACGAUCAGCCACACUGGGACUGAGACACGGCCCAGACUCCUACGGGAGGCAGCAGUGGGGAAUAUUGGACAAUGGGGGCAACCCUGAUCCAGCCAUGCCGCGUGAGUGAUGAAGGCCUUCGGGUUGUAAAGCUCUUUUGGCGGGGACGAUGAUGACGGUACCCGCAGAAUAAGCCCCGGCUAACUUCGUGCCAGCAGCCGCGGUAAGACGAAGGGGGCUAGCGUUGUUCGGAAUUACUGGGCGUAAAGCGAGUGUAGGUGGUUGUCCAAGUUGGAUGUGAAAGCCUUGAGCUUAACUCAAGAAAUGCAUUCAGGACUGGGC